This 283-nucleotide ribosomal RNA is filed under the name uncultured bacterium. RNAcentral describes it as "partial 16S ribosomal RNA". It matches the Rfam family "Bacterial small subunit ribosomal RNA", at positions 28 to 336 of the family's 1533-position model. The record is from RNAcentral.
GACGAACGCUGGCGGUGUGCUUCACACAUGCAAGUCGAACGAGGUAGCAAUACCUAGUGGCGGACGGGUGAGUAACGCGUGGGAAUCUGCCUUUAGAUGGGGGGAUAACGGGUCGAAAGACUCGCUAAUGCCGCAUAUGACGAAAGUUGAAAGGAGUAAUCCGUCUAAAGAUGAGCCCGCGUCCGAUUAGCUAGUUGGUAGAGUAAAAGCCUACCAAGGCGACGAUCGGUAGCUGGUCUGAGAGGAUGGAUCAGCCACAAUGGGACUGAGACACGGCCCAUAC